This 213-nucleotide long non-coding RNA is filed under the name Phoenix dactylifera (date palm). RNAcentral's name for it is "long non-coding RNA (PDAC_LNC009003)". The record is from RNAcentral. Lineage: Eukaryota; Viridiplantae; Streptophyta; Magnoliopsida; Arecales; Arecaceae.
UACCUCCAUAGGUUCAGGCAGAGCUGGCUGUUUGGGCAAGUGCUAAGUUGACCAUGCACAGUGAAAGUAUAGCUUUCUUCCCAUUAACCUUAUCAACAGAUAUGUAUAUGCUAACUGAUCAACAAAUAGUGUGUGAUUCUGAACAAAAGCAGUAUGAUAUGGGAGCUAUCUUCUAGUCUAUAUUUGAGCACUGAAUCUUACUAUACAGAUAUA